UACGUAGGGGGCAAGCGUUGUCCGGAAUCAUUGGGCGUAAAGCGUGUGUAGGCGGCUCGGUAAGUCCGCUCUGAAAGUCCGGGGCUCAACCCCGGGAGGCGGGUGGAUACUGUCGAGCUAGAGUCCGGAAGAGGCGAGUGGAAUUCCUGGUGUAGCGGUGAAAUGCGCAGAUAUCAGGAGGAACACCAAUGGCGAAGGCAGCUCGCUGGGACGGUACUGACGCUGAGACGCGAAAGCGUGGGGAGCAAACAGG
This 253-nucleotide ribosomal RNA is filed under the name uncultured bacterium. RNAcentral's name for it is "partial 16S ribosomal RNA". It matches the Rfam family "Bacterial small subunit ribosomal RNA", at positions 524 to 776 of the family's 1533-position model. The record is from RNAcentral.